CAAGAAAGCAGACACCACGACAGGAGACAGAAGAGUCGCCAACAAUUUAGCGAGGAGUACCUGAGGAAGAUGCCGAGGGGUGGAUGGCCACGGGUGAUUGUGGUUGCUGAUGGUUCGUGUGGAGACUCCUGCUCGGUUCUGGGCAUCAGCGCUGAUUACAUCGUAGAAUCAUGUCGCGCUUACGGCGCCAAUGCUACUAUAGAAAGACUGGACCAGAGACAGGUUCCCACACCUGAGAUCCGUGCACAUAGUUUGUAUUUUGAUCUGUCGGCAUACGGGAUCGACACUGUGAGGGAAUCACGCCGCUCCUCGCAGCCGGCAGCGAAGCCUGGAUUCCAUCUGAAGAUCUACGGAACGUUCCGGAACCGCUACAUGGCUCUGGCCUGCACUUCGGACGCAGACUCCAAAAUGAUGCAUUUCCUGCGCCACACGGCCAACUCUUCAAUCAUGAAGAACAUCUUCCACCAGUCGUUUAACGCGUAUAAGACAGACAUCGAGCCGCGUCUGCGUGAACUCACGCUGCACCACAUGCAGUGCAGCCGCAAGCUGUUCGAGAUCAUGCUGUCCUACAGACGCGUCAGCGCCGCUUACAUCGAAGGAGACAACGUCGCCGUGACUGUGGAAGGAGAAGCUGCGCGAGUGCUCAACUUUGACACUGGUUGUGGUGUGAAUCUGGGCAUGAGAGGACUGGAGUCUCUGGGAAUGUUCAUCUACAGAACGGCCACGGCGCUGGACCAGAACGACGUGUUUGAGGCGCUCUCGGCCAAAAUCCAGCACUCCAGACACGUGGCAGAGACUUUCAGGAAGAGCGGACUGGCCUCGGCAGUGUUUGAAUGACCCUGAGCGUGAGUGUUUUGAGGGGAGUUAUAAACUUACAACUAGAGCCUGACCGAUAUUAGGGAGUAAAAAAAGGCAGAUAUUGAUAUAUCGGCCGAUAUUCUUUUUGUAUAUUAUAGUACAGUAGUCAAAAGUUUGGACACUUUCCCAUUCGAGGAUCCAAACAUUUGACUGGUACUAUAUAUAGAAUACAGUAUAUACAUAAACAGAAUAUAUAUACAUAAACACAUUUUUUGCAAUGAUCACUCAAAUUUGGUGUGGAUUCGCCGCAGUGGAGAUAUGGCCGUUCAAAGUUUCAAUGGUUUUCCAUUGACUUAAGCUUCAAAAACGUUUCAUCCAAGUCGCCAGUAGCAAACAAUGGAGCGCGCUCUGCUGGACAAACUAAGUAAUUACACCAUUUCAAGCAUUUUAUCUGCGUUAUAUGCUCUGUAAAAAAAAAUUCAUAUCGGCGGCAUAUUCUCCGAUACCGAUAUAUUGGCGACAGGCUCAUAUCGUCCGAUAAUAUCGGCAAAACGAUAUAUCAGUCAGGCUCUACUUACAACACAAAUUGAUCUAUUUUGUGAUCGUUUUUGGAAUGUUGAAUAUUCAAUGCACAUUGGAGUGACCAAAGUUUGUGUAUUAGCAUUUCAUUUGUGAAAACAAUUAGGUAAUUAUUGGUGUAAUGUGAUGAUAAAUAGUGCAUUGUGUUUUUGAGUAGAUCUUGUCAAAAACAAGAACCGGAGACCGAUCCAGCCUAAAAUGGCCACAAACCUUACUGAAGAUACAGUGACCAUAAAAAAAAGAUACGUGGAGUCUUAUAAAAAUAUAAAAGCCACUGCAUUAGAUAAUAAAAUAUCAAAGCAAGUGUCCUAAUUAGUGCAGUGUUAGUCACCAACAGACUCUACUGCUACAGGACGAACAAGUCAGACUAUGAUGUUGACUAUUCACUAUGAAAUGAAUACUAGCAAAAAUGAAUAGGUCCCAGCAAUAGUUUAGUGUGAAUCACUAACAGACAGCAUCAUCAGAUCUGUAGAAAUUAAGUGCCUGGCAGAAAUCACAUUCAGUUCAUGUUACAUACAGAAAUAAAGAUGUCUAUUUAUUUUGUGAUAUUUGUUAAUAAAAUGAAGUGUU
Long non-coding RNA from Sinocyclocheilus grahami, 1947 nucleotides. The record is from Ensembl. NCBI's taxonomy places the organism in Eukaryota, Metazoa, Chordata, Actinopteri, Cypriniformes, Cyprinidae.